GGGAAUAUUGGACAAUGGGCGAAAGCCUGAUCCAGCCAUGCCGCGUGUGUGAAGAAGGUCUUCGGAUUGUAAAGCACUUUAAGUUGGGAGGAAGGGCAGUAAGUUAAUACCUUGCUGUUUUGACGUUACCGACAGAAUAAGCACCGGCUAACUUCGUGCCAGCAGCCGCGGUAAUA
RNAcentral lists this ribosomal RNA (176 nucleotides) under Pseudomonas sp. BG1. RNAcentral's name for it is "partial 16S ribosomal RNA". It matches the Rfam family "Bacterial small subunit ribosomal RNA", at positions 357 to 525 of the family's 1533-position model. The record is from RNAcentral. Lineage: Bacteria; Pseudomonadati; Pseudomonadota; Gammaproteobacteria; Pseudomonadales; Pseudomonadaceae.